RNAcentral lists this long non-coding RNA (709 nucleotides) under Homo sapiens (human). Its description in RNAcentral is "non-protein coding DANCR:10". Lineage: Eukaryota; Metazoa; Chordata; Mammalia; Primates; Hominidae. The record is from RNAcentral.
GGCUGACGCGCCACUAUGUAGCGGGUUUCGGGCGGGCCACGCGUGCGGGACAGGAACCCAACCCCAGCCGACCUUGAGCUCCAGGAGUUCGUCUCUUACGUCUGCGGAAGUGCAGCUGCCUCAGUUCUUAGCGCAGGUUGACAACUACAGGCACAAGCCAUUGAAGCUGGAAUGUCCUGUUGCUGGUAAAGAAAUGGAUUAGUGAUAACUCAAGUUUCAUCACCUCUCUACAAGUUUCACGCUGUUUAAGUCAUGAACCUACAAAAGCCUGUGAAAAAAUCUUUGAAGAUGCUCAGCUUGUUUCAGUCUGAAAUUUCUCCAAGACCAAUGAACAAAACAGGAUCAUGCCCUGAAUACACACCCAAGCUGCAGGCUCCUGCUUAGCCCUAUUUUGGUUUGGCCUCCAUGAGAUCUUCAGCCACAAUAGCAGGAGAUAAAAAUCUUCCUAGAAGCUUUCAUCAGCUGCAAGUUUUCUUACAGAAUGAAACUUUUCUGCUAUUUUUCUCAUAGUUAAUUGGCUAUUUGAGAAAACCGAAUUUCUGGCUCUCAGCAUUUAAUUGGAUUCUGUGGGUGACUGGAUGACCGCUUUGCACAUCACCAUGGGUAUCAUCCUUACCUUCUUUAAACCUUUUGUGCCAGUCAAAAAUUCUUGCUCUUGAUAUGUCAUCACCGGAAACUACUUUUUUUUUUUGUUUCUCUUUUGUGACAG